Molecule: ribosomal RNA, 240 nt
Filed under: uncultured bacterium
Lineage: Bacteria
Description: partial 16S ribosomal RNA
Rfam family: Bacterial small subunit ribosomal RNA
Source: RNAcentral
CGUGAGUAACCUGCCCUGGAGUGGGGGAAUAACAGCUGGAAACAGCUGCUAAUACCGCAUAAUGCAGUUGGGCCGCAUGGCUCUGACUGCCAAAGAUUUAUCGCUCUGGGAUGGACUCGCGUCUGAUUAGCUAGUUGGUGGGGCAACGGCCCACCAAGGCGACGAUCAGUAGCCGGACUGAGAGGUUGGCCGGCCACAUUGGGACUGAGACACGGCCCAGACUCCUACGGAAGGCAGCAG